RNAcentral lists this ribosomal RNA (652 nucleotides) under uncultured archaeon. RNAcentral describes it as "bacterial SSU rRNA". It matches the Rfam family "Archaeal small subunit ribosomal RNA", at positions 155 to 805 of the family's 1478-position model. The record is from RNAcentral.
CAUAGGUUUAGGGCACUGGAAGGUCCCUAAACCGAAAGGGGCUCUGCCCGCCCGAGGAUGGGCCGGCGGCCGAUUAGGUAGUUGGUGGGGUAACGGCCCACCAAGCCCAUAAUCGGUACGGGCAGUGAGAGCUGGAGCCCGGAGAUGGACACUGAGACACGGGUCCAGGCCCUACGGGGCGCAGCAGGCGCGAAACCUCCGCAAUGCUCGAAAGAGCGACGGGGGGACCCCAAGUGCCGUGGUACAACCACGGCUUUUCCGGAGUGUAAGAAGCUCCGGGAAUAAGGGCUGGGCAAGGCCGGUGGCAGCCGCCGCGGUAAUACCGGCGGCCCGAGUGGUGGCCACUAUUAUUGGGCCUAAAGCGUCCGUAGCCGGGCUUGUAAGUCCCUGGCGAAAUCCCACGGCUCAACCGUGGGGCUUGCUGGGGAUACUGCAAGCCUUGGGACCGGGAGAGGCCGGGGGUACUCCUGGGGUAGGGGUGAAAUCCUAUAAUCCCAGGAGGACCGCCAGUGGCGAAGGCGCCCGGCUGGAACGGGUCCGACGGUGAGGGACGAAGGCCAGGGGAGCAAACCGGAUUAGAUACCCGGGUAGUCCUGGCUGUAAAGGAUGCGGGCUAGGUGUUGCUUGGACCUCGAGUCCAAGCAGUGCCGCA